GAACUUGACAUGAUUGUGCUUGUACGUCUCUAAGCAUACCCAGAAAUACAGGUAUCAAGGAUGACAUAUUAUUGAAAGCGAUAAGAGGACAAGAAGUGGUAAUAAGGAAUCAAAGUUAGACCACUCUAAAAAUUACAAGGACAUGGAACAGUAUGCAAUAAGUCUGUACUUAGACCACUACUUCAAGAGGACGAAAAUCAUAAGAAAAGGUCCAAAUAUAAACACUAGUUCAGUAGAAAGAAAAAGCUUAUUGUUAGCUUGGGGCCUAGUUUAAGUGGUUAUGUAUAUAUAUGUAACAUCCAUGAAGCAGUGGCAGUUGUUGAUCUUACUUUAACCACAACUGCCUUGCAAAAUACUUGUCCUGCCAACAUCACCUAGCUUACUGGACAAGAAGGGGUCAAAGCAUGUUUAAGGCAUCAAUGAAUGCUUAUUCCAGGAUAGAAUACCUGAAGCAUGUUAGAUGGGUCAGGACAUAUUGCCAUAGCCUAUGAAGGCAGCACAAGAGACCUUGCUUCAAUGUAACUGGAAUUACUCUCAAGCUUAGUUUUCCAGACAAUACUUUAGUUUCAUAAGUACAUCUGUCUCCAACUCCUUAAAUUGAUAUAAUGGAGAAGGAAUAUGUGUGCCCAAGUCUACCAAAAUCUAAAUGUCCUUUAUAUUAUCAAGUCAUAUAGUAGGACUAGACAAUAAUUCAUUCAUUCAAACCUAUAGAUAAUAUCUCAUCACCAUCAAGCAUGGUAAAUAAAUUUUAGAAGAUAUAUGUUAGACAAUAGCGCAAUUUAAAACUUGAAACUGCUCAAAAUAUUUAGUAAAUAAUCAAAACCACCCAAGCUGUGCUCUCAAAACAUUCAAUCUCAAAACAGAAACUUAAUGGAAAACAAGUUAAUCAUCAUCUAACACAAUAAGAAAAAUGCAAAGAAGGACCAUCCUACAUCAGCAACAUAUGGCACAGCAAAAUCAAAACAAAAUUGUUUGGAAAUCUACAAACUGAAAAAACUGAGGAUGUUGAAGAGAGGAAAAGUUAUCAGGUCUUGUGCCAAAGAAGAUUUAAAGUGCAACAGAUUCACUAAAUAGGUCAAAGGGUAAUGGAGUUAAAGCCUAGAACCAAGCAUGAAAUCCACUGAUGCAAUUACAAACAAAAGCAUUGUUGACAAGUAAGCAGAGAAUGAAAAUUUGUUAUACAUCCAUAAAAAAUGAAAAAAAA
RNAcentral lists this unclassified non-coding RNA (1204 nucleotides) under Hevea brasiliensis (rubber tree). Lineage: Eukaryota; Viridiplantae; Streptophyta; Magnoliopsida; Malpighiales; Euphorbiaceae. The record is from RNAcentral.